This 210-nucleotide ribosomal RNA is filed under the name uncultured bacterium. RNAcentral's name for it is "partial 16S ribosomal RNA". It matches the Rfam family "Bacterial small subunit ribosomal RNA", at positions 568 to 775 of the family's 1533-position model. The record is from RNAcentral.
CACGUAGGCGGAUGGGUAAGUCAGAUGUGAAAUCCCGGGGCUCAACUUCGGAACUGCAUUUGAUACUGCCCGUCUUGAGUGUGGUAGAGGGGGGAUGGAAUUCCCGGUGUAGAGGUGAAAUUCGUAGAUAUCGGGAGGAACACCAGAGGCGAAGGCGAUCCCCCUGGGCCAUUACUGACGCUGAGGUGCGAAAGCGUGGGGAGCAAACUA